Meriones unguiculatus (Mongolian gerbil) is the source of this 424-nucleotide long non-coding RNA. RefSeq lists it as uncharacterized. The transcript has 2 exons. The record is from RefSeq and is a predicted model, not a curated record. Lineage: Eukaryota; Metazoa; Chordata; Mammalia; Rodentia; Muridae.
UCAAGCAUGAGAUAUGCAAGUAGCACAAGCUGGUGUAAAAUCAUAUGCAGGACUAACAUUUUUCGGGUCCCUCGUUGCUCAAAAUGUGGCUGUCAUGUAGGAGUGUGAAGUUCUAAGAAACUGAGGGAGACAGCUUUGGGUACUCAGAGAGCAAUGGCUUUCUUUUUCCUCCAUCCUUCUCAUCCUUACACCAAAUCAAAGUGCUUUAAAGGAUGCCCAAAACUGAGGAAAACUGCACGCUGGAUGUCUUCUUGACCCAUUCCCCAACCCCAGCGCCUAGGUGCAGGCGUAAAACCUGGAGCUCAAGCCGGUAGCCCUGGGAGAGCACCUGCAUGGCUGAUCACCUGAUCUUAAAGCCAAAUGGCUGUGAGGAAGCUAAACCAGGAAUACAAUGAUCGAUGUCGGCACCAGGGGAGAUCGGCUG